CGUUGGCAUCUCAGGUAGCACUGCAGGCCUGGAAGUGGCUUUAAAUAGAGCAGCUGCCCCGAAUUUCAUUAGGGAAUGUAGGGAUGUCCAUGAGACAAGUGCCGUUACAGUCCCUGGAGAUGGAAGAAAAACUAGAGGGAGAGAGAGACUCAGCUCUCCCUGUGGCACAGUUCUCCAUUGGGUCAGGUGGAUGCCUCUACAGGCUGCCCUGAUCCUACUGAGGAGGGACAGGUUUAGUUGUCCUAAAUGGGUGCAUUUGCUGUCAUUUCAGCUGGCCAAAGGCAUUCCUCACCAGCCUCUAAGGGGAUGCUCCCAGGUGCUGCCCUGUCCCUCAGGGUUUCUCCAUGAGAGCUUGCAGAUGCCUGCACGUACCUCUGCCCCCUGACCUGUCACCAGGUGUUUGCAGCCCCCUGAUUUCCUCCAUCUCCAUUAAUGAUCCUGGAGCUCACCUGCAGCUGCCCACAUGGUGCACAUCAAAGUGAGUACAGAGGAAUCCCAGGUCCUGUGGGUUUGUGGCAGGCAUGGGAGGGAUCUGAGUCCCAUUCGAGCCCCAGGACAAAAACCCAGCAUGAGAUGUUGGGUUAUCUGGCUGUGCUGAAUCCCUUCCAUAAGCAGGGGGUUAAAGGAGGUCUAUGACCGUGUCUGGGUGUCCCACCAUCAACUGGCAUGAGAAGAGAAGACUGCUACAGAUAAUAAUUUUUUUGCUAAGAGAAAUGAGCCAAAUGUCAAGAGGUGUGUGUGCCAGGUCUUCAGGGCCGUGCUGAGGAUGCCCUCUGAGAAGGGCCAGCACAAAGCCUUCUCCACGUGCCUCCCUCACCUGUUUGUGGUCUCCCUGUUUGUCAUCACUGGACUUUUUGCCUCCAUGAAGCCCUCCUCAAUCUCCUUCCCAGCCCAGGACCUGAUGGUGUCAUUUCUGUACUCAGUGAUGCCUCCAGCAGUGAACCCCCUCAUCUACAGCAUGAGGAACCAGGAGCUCAAGGGUGCCAUUAGGAAAAUGAUUUCAGGGAUGUUUCUGAAAAGUGAUAAAUUACCACUUUUUCUCCACAAAUGACUUCCUGGGUACUUGUUUCAUGAUCAUUAUUGUUACAUUUAUCUUUGUUGUCAUUCCCAUUCAUUAGUUUAUUAGAUUUAUUUAUUUUUAAUAUGUAUAUCUACUGUACACUGAGGAAUGAAACUGCUUUUUUAGUACUCUCUCUUAGCAUCUGCUUAAUAAAACAGGAUCUCCCCAACA
Anas platyrhynchos (mallard) is the source of this 1231-nucleotide non-coding RNA. The record is from RefSeq and is a predicted model, not a curated record. Lineage: Eukaryota; Metazoa; Chordata; Aves; Anseriformes; Anatidae.